CAGUCGCCGCGGGAAUACGAAGGGGGCUAGCGUUGUUCGGAAUUACUGGGCGUAAAGGGCGCGUAGGCGGCCAUCCAAGUUAGAUGUGAAAGCCCUGGGCUCAACCUAGGAAUUGCAUUUGAUACUGUUUGGCUUGAGUUCGGGAGAGGUGAGUGGAAUUCCCAGUGUAGAGGUGAAAUUCGUAGAUAUUGGGAAGAACACCAGUGGCGAAGGCGGCUCACUGGACCGACACUGACGCUGAGGCGCGAAAGCGUGGGGAGCAAACAGGAUUAGAGACCCGAGUAGUCCCUGUCUCUUAUAC
This 301-nucleotide ribosomal RNA is filed under the name uncultured bacterium. Its description in RNAcentral is "partial 16S ribosomal RNA". It matches the Rfam family "Bacterial small subunit ribosomal RNA", at positions 509 to 807 of the family's 1533-position model. The record is from RNAcentral.